CCGUGCGAAGGUAGCGUAAUCACUUGUCUUUUAAAUAAAGACUAGUAUGAAUGGCACCACGAGGAUUUAGCUGUCUCCUUAGACUUAUCAGUGAAACUGAUCUCCCCGUGCAAAAGCGGGGAUAUACACAUAAGACGAGAAGACCCUAUGGAGCUUAAAACCGAUAGCCGCCUAUGCCAUCUACUAAUAUAAAUAGUAUUAUAACAAUAGAUCCGGCCUACGUUUUCAGUUGGGGUGACUGUGGAGAAAAACCUAUCCUCCAUGAAGAAACAAGCCUUGAGUUACCACUCUACGCAUAAGCAAGCCUAACUUUACUUGAUCCAAUCUAUUUGAUCAACGGACCAAGUUACCCUAGGGAUAACAGCGCAAUCCAUUUCAAGAGUCCUUAUCGACAAAUGGGUUU
RNAcentral lists this ribosomal RNA (403 nucleotides) under Leptobrachium boringii (Emei moustache toad). RNAcentral's name for it is "partial 16S ribosomal RNA". It matches the Rfam family "Bacterial large subunit ribosomal RNA", at positions 1946 to 2519 of the family's 2925-position model. The record is from RNAcentral. Lineage: Eukaryota; Metazoa; Chordata; Amphibia; Anura; Megophryidae.